AUUGAACGCUGGCGGCAGGCCUAACACAUGCAAGUCGAACGAGUGGCGGACGGGUGAGUAAUGUCUGGGAAACUGCGUGAUGGAGGGGGAUAACCACUGAAAACUGUAGCUAAUACCGCAUACCAUCGGAUGUGCCCAGAUGGGAUUAGCUAGUAGGUGGGGUAAUGGCUCAUCUAGGCGACGAUCCCUAGCUGGUCUGAGAGGAUGACCAGCCACACGUGAACGGAGACACGGUCCAGACUCCUACGGGAGGCAGCAGUGGGGAAUAUUGCACAAUGGGCGCAAGCCUGAUGCAGCCAUGCCGCGUGUAUGAAGAAGGCCUUCGGGUUGUAAAGUACUUUCAGCGGGGAGGCGUUACCCGCAGAAGAAGCACCGGCUAACUCCGUGCCAGUAGCCGCGGUAAUUC
This 406-nucleotide ribosomal RNA is filed under the name uncultured bacterium. Its description in RNAcentral is "partial 16S ribosomal RNA". It matches the Rfam family "Bacterial small subunit ribosomal RNA", at positions 30 to 526 of the family's 1533-position model. The record is from RNAcentral.